Molecule: long non-coding RNA, 1793 nt
Organism: Jatropha curcas
Lineage: Eukaryota; Viridiplantae; Streptophyta; Magnoliopsida; Malpighiales; Euphorbiaceae
Source: RefSeq, a predicted model, not a curated record
GACACAUCCAUCUGAUUCUUUGGCUGGCCGGUGAAUAUUCGGACCGAGUUUAAUAACAAACCAAUCAAAAACGAAAGAAAACCCUAAUUUGAAGUACGUGCGACCACCAUGCAAGAAAACGUUGUAUUUAAGAAACGGAUCAUCAAGCUCCUCAAACCCUAAAACCUACGCGUCUUCUUCAAACGAAAAUGGCAAAGCGGCUGUUAUCUCAACCCUCUGGAUUUGGGGAGACGUCAAAACACGUGGCUCUAGAGGCUGAAGAUGCGGUGAUGGCCUCUGAGAAAGUUUGUAUCGUUUGCUGUGUAUUAAGGCAGCCGAGGGGUACUUUUUAUUCAGUAUACGUUUUCAAUCUGAAUUGUAAACCUAAUCCAAUCAGUAUACCGACGCUGAAUCCAGUUCUUCAAUUGCAAAUUCCUUGUUAUCCUUUAGUACGGCCUUCGCUUUUUGCGGAUCGAUCUUAUAUAUGUUCGGCGGUCGGUACAUCAUCCCGGAUCUGAGUAAUAUAAAAAGACGGGGCAAAGAGGGGGAUUGGGAAUCCACUGUGUUAGGCUAUGAUUUUUCACGGGGGAUGCUGCUGGGCGAAUUAUCUGAGAUGAAGGCUUCGAAAGUCCGCCCUUCUGUGGUUAUCUUUGACGGUAAGGUUUGUGUUUUCUCCCAAAUGCUUUAUCGAAGUGGUUUUUAUGUCGGACGUCCAAGUUUUGAGCUGUUUGAUCCAACUGAAAAUAGCUGGACCGAACUUCCUGAACCUAUGGAAUACUCUGAAUAUUCCCCUAUGAUUACAAUAGACUCCUAUUGUGUAGGAGGUUCCAGGCUUUUUAUCUCAAACUAGCAAUCAAAAACAGAUACUGUGUCUGGAUAUCAAUCGCCCUACCGGAUGGACUUCAUACUUGUUGACGAAGUGUGUUUCUCUCCAUUUCGUGCAUAUCUGUUAUCUCCUGUGAAAUUUGAUUGCCCAUUUCCCCUAUACUUUUUAAAACCUAAAUUAGAGCCUGAUGAUGAUGAUAUCGGGUAUACGGAUAGCGUUGCGCAUACACAAAUGCCAUAUCGCCCAUAUCACGUAGCUGGACGUGGUUCCAUAUCUUGUGUAGGGGAAAGGACACCUUGCACCAUUAAAGCCGGGUUCAUUUAUCCUGAACGUCCUGACCCGUGUAUUCAUGUGGAGACCUUUAAGUUUAGUUCUUCCCCAAGAGAAAUGUCUAAAUCUCGUGUUUUAGACUUUAGUUUUUUGAAUUAUAUUAUAAAUAAGAAGUUUCGACCUAAACCGGUCGAACAAUAUUCUGAUUUACUGGAGUUUGAUUUAUUGAAGUCUCUCAAAUAUUUGUUGGGUGGCAAUCCUUGCGAGGCUGUGAUGAUUUGUGGGUGUUUUCCUGUGUGAUGCAAGCCACUCUUACCUUUCUCUGUUCUGUUCAGGGUAGCUGAAUGUAAGGAGCCUGUUAAGUUUUUCUGUCAGAGACUUUACUGAUAUCAUUGAUUCAAAAAGUCCAAGCCCUCUGUCUUAAGAUCAAGAACUGCAAAGAAUUGCAGGAUUUUAGCUUCAACUUCACCAAGACAAAGUGAACAGGGUUUCAAAGAAUCUUAGUUUGCAGACACAAUGUUCAAAGGAUUUCAUUCACAAGUAAUAAAUUUACAGAUGGUUAAAUUAGAUGUCGUCAAUUUGAUUUAAUGUAGAUAAAGUAGAUGCAAUAGUAUCAGCAGAGCAGCAUAGUCUGUUCUGUUUUUGAGCUGCCAUAUACUGAUACAAAAAAAAAUAUCAGGUCAAGCAUCCAAUUCUCGAUCGUCAUUGUUCGACAAAA